AAAACUAGCCAGUACAAUAUCCGUGUGCUGAUGGGGGCCAACGGCGCCAGUGAGGUUGCUGCGGAGAAGUUCUGCCAAGGGAUACAGACCAGCCUUCUCGCCAAAGAGCUGCUGCAGGUGUCCAACUUCUGAAUCACUGUGGUAGAUGAUGCUUCUUGCCUCAGGGAUUUGUGUGACAAAGAGUCAGAAAGUCAUCACUCCAAGUGGUGUCCCCAGUCAGCGGGGGCAUUGUACUCCUAAGAAAGAGUUCCUGGGCCUCAAAAAUGGCCCCUCUGAUUCACUAUGCCGUUGCCAAACAUUUUAUAAGAGACAAGUGUCCUGGAGGCUCCUGGCUAUCCCAGAUGGACGCUGAAAUGGCCAGCUGUGAAGGACUAAGGAGGGCGCUGUGGAAAGUUUCCUCUGAUUAUCAUCUCACAGUUUAGUAGAGGGACUGCAGAGAUGGCCCCGCAGUUAAAAGCACCGGCUGCUCUUCUGAAGGAGCCAAGCAUGGGCAUUCCAGGGAAGGGGUGUGCUUCUGGAAGCCCAAUUUAUCCAAAGUCAAUGUGUUAUACAGAAAUAUAUAAGAAGAAAGACUCUGCUGAGAGACUGGAGUACCCCGACACUGAAGAGUUCACUAAGGGCAAAGGUAACAAUACUGUGUGCAUGCCCCCCAGCCAGGAAGUCACAGAAGCUGGUCUGAACUGAUUCAGCUACCUUUGGCUAUUACUGUCUACUGUAUCUGUUGGGGGGCAUUGCUGAUCGAUCUGGAGUGACCACCUGUAUUUAUACCCAGCUGAAGUCAACCACCGUCUUUACUCUUCUUUAUUCUUCUUUGCUUCCUGUUUUGGGGGUGGAGUUAGUCUAAUCAAAAGGGACACUGAUGCUGGGUAAGGUGUAUGUCUUCUAUCCCAGCGCUUGGGAGGUAGAAACACGAAGAUCUGAAGCCCAAAGCUAGAAUCAUCAGUGGGAUGAGUUCAAGACCAAACUGCUCUAACAUGAGACUGUCUUAAAAUGUGUAGGUGGUGACCAGAGGACCUAUAAUCUCGAGUAUCUAUCUAUCUAUCUAUCUAUCUAUCUAUCUAUCAAUUCUAAAAUAUGAAGCCUAUUGUGCCUUGCUACCUAGAGUGAAAUCUGUUGACAAUUUAUUUAUGUUGUAGGGAUUUGCAAUGAUUAUCUAUGAAUUGGGUGAGGUUAUUUAACUAUAAGACUAUACCAAGAUUUGUCAACAAUGGAAAUUUGAGUCUUUUUUAUUCUGAAUGUAAAUCUCUGUGGUUUUAUACUGUUUUAGAGGGUUUUUUUGGGUAACACCAUAAGAGUGUAAUGGUAUGUUAGGACUUCUAUAAUAACCCCUGAAAUGAUUUUAAGAGGAUCUAAUGACUGGCAUUUGGCCAGUAAGUAGGAGAGUUCGAUACCCUGUAUUGAAUGAAGUAUGUCCUUUGAGCCCCUGUAUGAAAGGCUUGUUCCUCAGCUACUAAUGCUCUUGAGAAGUGAGUAUAUCAAAAAAUGUUUUAACUUCAACAAUGGACUCAUGCAUUGAUAAAUUCAUAGGUGAAUGGACAAUUAGUAGAAAGAAUGUACUUGGAAGAAGUAGGUUGAGGUGGGGGUGGGGCACUUUCAGUGGCACCUCUUUUGCUAUAAUAAACAGCACUACCAAAAUCACUUGUAGAAAGCAACUUGGAGGAAAAAAAACUACAAAGCAACUUGAAGAAAACAAAGAGUGGAGGUAUUUUAGUUUACAAGUUGUAGUCCAUCACCAAAGGAAGCCAAGGCAUGAAGUUAAGGCAGGGACCUGGAGCAGGAACGGGGAUCAAACCAUGAAGAAAUGCUGCCUAUUAGCUUACCCCCUCUGACUUGCAUACACCAUAUACCUAUAGAUGGAACUGGCUACAGAGGAGUGUGUCCUCAUACAUCAAUUAGGAAUUAAAGAAAUGUCUUACAGACCUGGCCACAGGCCAGUCUGAAUGAGAAAAUUCAUUACUGUCGCUCCCUCUUCCCAAGUGAUUUUUGCCAAAUUGACAGCUGACGCUAACAGUGAAUGUUGAUUACUUUCUGUCCCUGGGAUAAAACACCAUGACCAAGGCAACUUACAGAAGAAUGAGUUUAUUUGGCCCGUGGUUCUAAGGGGUUAGAGUCUAUGGUGGUGUAGACAGUUGGGCAGCAGGGGCAGGCACGGCGGCUAGAGCAGAAAACUGACAUCUCAUUAUCUUGAGUUGCAAGCACAAAGCAGAGAGAGAAACCUUGAAAUGGUGAGGCUCUUUAAACUGUCCAAGUCCACUUCCUCUGAAAUACUUCCUCCAACAGGACUAAUUUUUCUACACCUCCUGAAACAGCACCACCAAAUGGGGACUAAGUGUUCAAAAACAUGAGCCUUUGAGAACAACCUCAUUUAAACCACUACAGGGGCAUGCCUGAGAAGGUUAUAUCUUAUCUCAGGACUCUUCGCCUCCUACUCUCUGCUCAUGUAUGCCAUGCAGAGAGCCAGUUUAUUCCGCUUUAUGUUCUCUACCCUGACGUUUGGCCUCACAAACCAUGAAGCCAAGUAACUACCCACAGACGAAAAGCUCUAAGGCUAUGGUCCAGAAUAAAUCCUAUUUCCUUAGCUUGUUCCCUUGGCAAUUGAUCACAGCAAUGCAAAGCUGUCUCACACAGCUACAAUGCUCCAUAGUAUUUGUCACAGACCCUUUACUUUCUGCUGAAUGUAUUUAAUUAAAGCUGUACGUGUACUAAUAACUCAGUAAAACUCUAACUGUAUUUCCCUAGUGAGUAAUGAGAUUGCCUGUAUUUUCCUGUGUUUGAAUCUUUUUGUUUAAAACACAGACAUUUUGCCCAUCUUGUUUAAUUAUGUUACUUUUAAUAUGCAUACAGAUAUCUAUAAAACAUGUUCUUAUUAAGAUACAUAUCUGCUUUUAUUUGUAUUUUCUUGCAUUUUACUCAUCGCCAUGUUUAUAGUUUUUGAUGCACAUGUCUUAAAAUCUCUUAUAAAUUUAUUUCUAACUGUUUC
Long non-coding RNA from Mus musculus (house mouse), 2980 nucleotides. RefSeq annotates it as predicted gene 6150. The transcript has 4 exons. The record is from RefSeq and is marked validated. NCBI's taxonomy places the organism in Eukaryota, Metazoa, Chordata, Mammalia, Rodentia, Muridae.